CACGUAGUUAGCCGGCGCUUCUUAUCCAGCUACCGUCAACCCACCCACCAGGGGCAGGCCUGCUUCACUGGCGAAAGAGGUUCACAACCCGAAGGCCCCCAUCCCUCACGCGGCGUCGCUGCAUCAGGCUUGCGCCCAUUGUGCAAUAUUCCCCACUGCUGCCUCCCGUAGGAGUCUGGGCCGUGUCUCAGUCCCAGUGUGACCGUCCACCCUCUCAGGCCGGCUACCCGUCACCGCCUUGGUAGGCCAUCACCCCACCAACAAGCUGAUAGGCCGCGAGCCCAUCCCCCACCAGAAAAAACCUUUCCCAGACCCAUCAUGCGACAGACCCAGAAUAUCCCGUAUUAGCCACACUUUCAUGCGGUUAUCCAGAAGAAGGGGCAGGUUACUCACGUGUUACUCACCGUUCGCCACUCAUCCACACCCCCAAAAGGACGCGCUUCACCGUUCGACUUGCAUGUGUUAAGCACGCCGCCAGCGUUCGCUGAGCACGAUCAAACUCUACG
This 506-nucleotide ribosomal RNA is filed under the name uncultured Actinomyces sp. RNAcentral's name for it is "partial 16S ribosomal RNA". The record is from RNAcentral. Lineage: Bacteria; Bacillati; Actinomycetota; Actinomycetes; Actinomycetales; Actinomycetaceae.